Molecule: long non-coding RNA, 5697 nt
Filed under: Heterocephalus glaber (naked mole-rat)
Lineage: Eukaryota; Metazoa; Chordata; Mammalia; Rodentia; Bathyergidae
Description: lncRNA (ENSHGLG00100048139.1)
Source: RNAcentral
GUGUGUUUAUAUUUGACACUGAGUGCAUUCUAUAAAGUGUUGGGUUUCAUUUGCUUUAUAGCCAAAAAAUAAGAUAAUGUGAAUUAUGUUCCUCCUAGUCUAGGUCAACUUAUCUGGCUUGAAAACCAACUCUGUUAUCUUUGGUGAUAGAUCUGAACUAGAUUACUAGCUGCUUAAUAAAUACAUGUUGAAUGAUGAGUUGAUUCUUAUGCUCAGCCACCCCGAUUGCAGACAUAUUCUAAUGUGAUGCUGGGAUUGAAUUUACCUAGAACUCUAUUUCAAGACUGACUCUAAAGUCUUUUGGACGAUCUGGAAGAAAUUUGUAAGUGCUCUUUUGGUAGUGAUUAUCUUAAGCUCACUGUGCCUAUUUUUGUUUUUAUAAUGUUUACUUUAUUCUUUAACUUUCUGAUUAAUUAUGUAAUUAAUUAGGUAAAUUAUAAAAACUUUGCAGUAACUACAGAGACAAGUGAGGUAUGGCAGAAGGAAUGUUUAUCAGUGUUUCUCUUGUUGGGCUUCCCAUUUUGUUCCUUGCUCUUCACUCUUUUACUGUUAAACUUGGUCUCAUUUUUUAAAAAGUAGCAUGAAUUGGGCUGGGGAUUUAGCUCAGUAGUUCCACUGCCUGCCUUGCAAGCCCAAGGACCUGAGUUCGAUUCCCGGUACCAAAAAAAAAAAAAAAGUAGCAUGAAUGUGUCAGAAAUACUGGUUUUGAAAUAAUUGAAAAAAAUGACUAAGGAAAACACUUGUUACCAUUAAGAUGGUCUCUUAUAAGCUGUACUUUUAAGUAUUCCUUUUAAAACCCCAAAUGAUAUUGAGGCUUUUGGAUAAUUCUGAAAUAUUGAGAGAAUAAUGAGAAAAAUAUAUUAGUAAUGAUGUUCUCCCAAAGUUUGAUUUUUCUUAUAAACAUUUUUGACUCAGUAAGUCAGCUAUUUGAAAACUACUUUUUUUUUUUAAGAGUAGGAAAAAUUUAUUGAAAGAAAGCUUCUGUCUAAGAGAGACAAGAGGGGGACCAGAAAGUGGGUUUCCUGCUCACCCCACGUUUCAAAAGUGUUUUAUACAGCAAAGCCAUGUGGUGAGGUGAAUACAAAGUGGGACAAAACUAUAAGACCCAGUGGAAAUUUACAAGGUGGACAUGAGGUGGGACAAAACCUUGACCAAUAAGAUUACAAGUACAGUCACCCAGGUAAUAUUGAUUAAAUGGGCUAAAAUGGGGGAGCAAGUCAUGUAACAAAUGUACAAGGAUUUUUAGUAAGGGUGGGGGUCAGGGAUGUUUCCUGGAAAGGCUGGGUUAAGACCUUGGCCCCCCACCCAGGUGAUUGAUACCUCUUUAGAAUAUCAAUCACUGCUAUUCAUCCCACAUGUUUUUUUUUUUUCAAAGUUGUAGGUCUUUCAUGCCAUAGUAGUCUUCCUUAAUAUUUACAAUACAUUCACCAAGAUAAUCAGAUAUGACCCAGGAGCUUCACUUUCUGCCAAAAUUGUUUUAGCCAUUGUAGAGCUUCCUCAAAAUAGAGGCCCCAUUAAUGCUCUGAAAGAUUUUUGUGACUGUGCUUUAAUUAUAGUAAAAAAUGUGUCAUUGUUACCAUUUUAUUGUUAUAUUUGAGGCACAAAUAAAAUGAUUCCAUACUUAUCUAGCACUUAAGAUUUUCAAAGCACUUUUGUAACUUUUGUCUUCAUUUUUCUCUUUGGCCUUAUGAUACAUGUAAGAGUGAUUCUUUGUUUGGUAAGUGGAGAACUUAAAAGACAAGGAAUUAAAAUGAUUGAGAAAGCUAAUAGAGCUUAUUGUAAUUUUAUAAUUCAAAAUAAACAAGUGUUAUUAGAACAUGUUUUUGCUAACAGUCUUUUGAGUGGAAGAAGAAAUUAAUAUGCUUAAUGUACAGUAGGGUUGUAUUGUAAGGCCUUUUGUAAGGCCUUUUGGUAAUAACUUUCUCAUUAUUUGAAUUGUGGGUUAUUUAUGUGUAUAAGAACAGAGAGAGUUUUUAUUUAUACUAAGUAGGAAAUACUACCUAACAAUGGACAUCGUGGAAUAAAUUAUUUUUAAAAGAUAUGGAAUCUUCUUCCCAGGAGGGAACUUAAUUGCAUUUGAAGUUAGUUCUCAAAACUGCUUCUAGAACUUGCUAAUUAGUUUCACUAGUUAUGUGCUUAUAGUGGCAAGUGUUUUUUAAAAAAUUCUUAAAUGAACACUAACCACAUAUUGGUGUAAAUAAUGCAUAUACAUAAGGCCAAAGGUUCCUCUUAAUGGGAAACUGCAUUAUGAAAAAGCAUUUAUUCUUGGAAGUUUAUAAAAUUAUUAACUCUUUAUCUGGGGAGAUUAUAAGAGUGAAAUGAUGAUGGCACAGAUUUGAGGGUCCAGCUGAUGUGAUAUUGCAUCCUUGAAGUCAUUUGUUAGCUUUCUUAUUAACCUAGCUUAAUUUCUUUCAAUUUUUAUAUUUCAGCUUUCAAAUUGUAAUGAGGGACUAAUAUACCUGUUUUGUGGGCUUAGUGUUAAAUUUAGCACUUGAUAUAUAGCUAUUUUUAAGAAACAUCAUCGUUUCUUUCUACAUCUUUAUUACUUUCCCCUCCCCCCCCAAAAAACCAAAAAUUCCUAGGAGGGAGUACUUGGUUGUAUCUUCCUGUUUUCAAACAAUUUGCUUAGUUUCAUUCCCUGUUUUACCUUUCCAAGAGGUUAAAUAACCUUCCCUUUUUAAUGCUUCUAAAAUGGAAACCAAAGAAUUGUUUUCAUACAAUUUAUAAGGAAGAGCAUUUGCAUUUGUGGUAUGUGGAUAAUUGAGGAAUUGUGUGCAUGCCUGUGUGUGUAUAUGUGUGUGUGUCAUGUAUAUUUUCUUGUAGAUAUUCAGUUAUUUUGAAUUUCCCUUGUAAGACAAUCAAAUCAAAAUAAAAAUUUGUAUUUAGUUAUUUCAGUGGAGUACACAAAUUUAUUCACAUAUUUAUAAAAAUUGCUAUAAAUUUUGGUCUUUUUAAUUUUAUUGAAAAGUGAAGGGGCUAUGCAAAAAGCUAGUUUGUCUGAGGGAAGGCUAGGUCGGUAAUUCAAAUACAUAGUGCACUGACAUUUCUUGGUAAAAAGAAGCAGAGUGUGUAAGACUGCAAAUCUAGACACUACAGAGUGUAGCUGUUGAGAAUGCAGUGAGGAAAGCACAUUGCCCAAGCCUGAAUGAUGGUUCUAAAACAAAUCUUCCACAAAUAAAACCAUGCAUGAGUCAAAUACAUUCUUCAAUCCUUAGUUCCUUAAUGUAGACAAUAGCGAUGAUAAUGCGUAUUUUACAGAGAUGAGAACUUAAUAUAAGAAUAAAUGUAAAGGAAAUAGAAAUAAAAUAUUCCAGUUGCUAUUUUGUUUCCUAUUAUAUUAGUUUCUAAGAAAGAAUGUAUUAUUCAGACCACAUGGCAACCGCUUUGCAUAUAUUCUAACCUUGGUUUAACCACUGGUUUUACAAGAAAUGCUACAUUGAGUCAAUUUUGUGUCUUAGUACUGGGAACUAUAAAAAAAGUAAGAACAACAAAAAUUUAUUUUUCAUAGUAAGGGAGGCUGGAAGUCCAAGAUCAGGGUGUCAACCAGAGUCUGUUCCUGGUAAGGACCAUCUUUCAGAUUCCAGACUGCCAAAUUUUGUUUGUGCUUAUUCAUGUCAGAGAAAAACUAGAGAAUACCUCGUGGUCCUUAGAAGAACAUUGAACUCUUUAGUGAACAUGCCAUUUUUUUAGCCUAGUUACCUUCUAAAAGCCCCACCGCCCACUACCAUUAUAUUAGUUUGUAGGAUUUUAACGUAUGCAUUUUGAGGCAAUACAAACAUUGCAAUAAGUAAAUGUGUUCUCUGUGUGUUGGAUAGAAUGUGCAUCCGUUUUCUAUUAUUGUGUGACAAGUUCCCACACAGAAGCUGAAAACAACAUACAUUUAUUAUCUCACAGUUUCUUCUAGUCAGAAAUCCAAGCAUGACUUAGCUCAGGGCCUUAAAAAACUUCAGUACAAAUGUCUGCCAAAUUGCAUUUUCAUUUCUCCUUUGGUCUCCUCUUCCAAACACACUGGUUCUCACUAAAUUGAGUUCAUUGUAGUUGGAGGACUGGGAUCCUUCUAAAGGUCACAUACAGUUCCCAUUCAUAUGCAUUCUCCAAACAUAGUUCACGGCAUAGCAGCUUGUUUCUUUAAUGCUAACAGGAGAAACUCUACUGGAUGCUAGCAAGAUGGAGUAAAAAAUGCAUAUAUAUCCGUAGAGAUACAUACGUACAUUAAGUAAUCAUUGGGUGACAUCCCAAUUACCUUUGCCAUACUGUAUUGUUUAGAAACAAGUCACAGAUCUUGCCUAUACUUUAAGGGAGAGAAUUACACAAGGUAUAAAUAUGGGGCCCGCCAGAGGUCUAAUACAAGAUAUUAAGCUUCUCAGCUGAAAUCUCAUGUAACCUGUUAUAAAAUUGUAUUUAAUAAGAAAGGAAUAUUGUCACUGAUUGUAAAAUUUUAUUCCCAGUUAUUCUUACAGUGUAACUCCCAACCAACUAUUCCUCCUGUCUGAAAUUCAUCCAUUAUUUCAAGAUGGUUAAACCUACCAGACUAAACAACCUAGCCUGGUACUGUGCUCUCCAGCAUCUGGCAAAGCCCAAACAUCCAACUUUUCCCCCCCAUUAAUCUCAUGUAUAUGCCUUGACAAGUGCCUUAUACUUGCUCAUAUAUUUGUCAAUGAAUGGGCUCUUGUUUCUUUCCUAGUCUCCAUCCAUUUAAAACACAUUUAAAUUUAUUUCUCUCCCAUUGUAUUGUUAUUUCUUUAGUCCUUUAUAGCUAGCUGAAGUUUUUCCUGCAUCAUAUCCCAUCACAUUAUAUCCAAUCUAAUUUUACAGUUAAAUGAUACUUUGUCUCAUUUCCUUGCUACUAGGUGAGAUGGGGAUGUGUACAUUCAUCCAUGGGUUACCUGCAGCCAGUAUAUAAUAGUAUCUUAAGAAACAUUCUCUGCAUAUAUAAAUGUCUUUUCUAUUUAUAACAGUGGUUUACAGUUAGAACUUGCAUCUUCCUAGACAUAGAAUUUAGGACUAAGGCUAAAACAUUCCUGGGUUCUGACUGGUUCUUAUUAAUAUUUACUGGUUUUGUUUUAAACUACUGACUUUUGGGGUAAUUUGGUCAUAAAGCAUUUGAUAAUUAAUAUAUUAUAAAAAGUCCCAGACCUAAAUUAUUUUCAUGAAUUACAGCAUUGUAGUUUUCUUUGGCGAGAAUACAGAGAUCAUUAGUGUACCAAAUACAUGGUCUCUCAGGCGAAUGUAAUGGAAGAAAAGCACGUAUAUUUAUAAAAUAGUGAACAAAGUGAGAAUAAAAUUGGAAAUGUUUAAAUUUCAUUAGGAAUAGUGAUUUUUUUUAAUCACAGAAAAGCCACUUUUAAUGGCUUGGCCAUGAAUCGUAUCAGUAUUGAAGAAUUAUUCUUACUUAGGGAUGAGUAGGCUCAAAUGAUGGUCUGGAACACAUUCAUUUGUAAAAGAGCUGUGAUGAAUAGUUAAAACACUGUUCCUGUUCCAGAAUCCGGCCUUACAGAAUCUAUUCCUCUACUUUUCUUGUGCUCCUUCAUUGUCUUUUGUGAAGUUGUAAAUAAUAGACUUACAGAAAAGUAGCUUUAAGUAUACAAUAUAUACCUAAUUGGGAUACAAUAUUUUGAAGUGCAGAGUUAAUUAGAAAAAUAAUACAUUUGGUCUCUGAAAAAAUAAAUUCAGAAGUAUGUAUGUGUAAUCAAGUAG